Molecule: long non-coding RNA, 1595 nt
Organism: Rattus rattus (black rat)
Lineage: Eukaryota; Metazoa; Chordata; Mammalia; Rodentia; Muridae
Exons: 3
Source: RefSeq, a predicted model, not a curated record
CCCAUUUGAGAUGCUUGUUAGUAACUGUUAGAGGUCUUCUUUACCACUGAGGAAAGACGGAAUCCUACUGGAGACCAGAAAGAAGGUUCCAACACGGAUAGAAGGCCCUCACUUCUGCCUGCUCUCUUCAGACGCCUGAAGGACUUAAACUGUGAUAGAGUGGCUGAUGUUUUGCCUUUGAAUAGAACGUCCCAAAAGAUGGGACCACUAGUCAGCUGCCAUGGACUAGAUUCUCCACUGGUUGGGGACAAUCUGGUCACCUUGCUGCCCAAUCCUGACCUGGAGCCACUGCAACACGAGUGUCAAGCACUGUCAGAAGCCCAUGGGUGGAGGAAGGACCUCUGUGACUGGCUGAUUGACCCCUGCUGAAAGCCGAGGACCUUGUCUACAGACGGGAACAGUCCUCUUCAUGAAUGAAGGUCAGAGACAAGUGAGUGCUGCCAUGGUGGACAACACAAUGUCAUCUGGGAUGGCUGAACCUCAACCCCCCAGUACAUCAGUGCCGCAGAUGCCUUUGCCAUCUCUUGAAUGCCCUGGUGAAGUCAACAACUAUACUUUUUCAGGAAUAGAUAGAGGCUUUCCUCACCAAACGAGAGACGGCCUCUGCAAUCAUCAAGAAGAUACUGGAAGAAAUCUUCCCCAGGUCUGGAAUGCCCAAGGUAAUCUGGUCAGACAACGGCCCUACUUUUGUUGCCAAGGUAAGCCAGGGUGUGGCCAAGUAUUUAGAGGUCGAUUGGAAAUUACAUUGUAUUUACAGACCUCAAAGUUCAGGACAGGUAGAGUAAAUAAAUAAAACUCUAAGAGAGACCCUGACCAAAUUAAAUUGACCAUGGAGACUGGCGCAGACUGGGUGACACUCCUUCCCUCUUGCUCUCUUCAGAGCAAGAAAUAUCCCUUACCGAUUCAGCCUUAUCCCCUUUGAGAUCUUAUAUGGGACCUCAGCUCCCCUGACUGUAUUAGAUGAUGUUACUGAACCAACAUGUCAUAGUCAUAAUGAUUUGUAUAUCAGGCUAAAAGAUCUACAGGUGAUACAGAAAGAAAUCUGCUCACAGCUGACAGCAGCCUAUGCCCCGGAGACCCCUGAGACAUCCCAUCAGUUCCAGGUCGGAGACUGCAGCUACACUGAGCCCAGACAUUCGAGCCUCGCUGGAAAGGACUGUACCUGGUGCUGCUGACCACCCUGACAGCUGUCAAUUCUCAGCCCUCACCAGCCGUGUACUAGCUGUUGGGGCUGAGAGCUGGGACCUAGAGGGAAAUUCAGUCAUGUUUAUCCUGGGUUCUAUCAAGAUAGGUGUGGGGAUAGGCUUGAUUUCCAUUACAAAUGAUGUAACAUUGAAUAUAUUAGUACUCCUAACACUUCUUGGGAAUGUGCCUCAGGGAUCACAAUCUGUAUAAGUUUAGAAGUUCUAAAAGCUAGUCAUGACCUUGGUGUGUAGGUUUAGAUAGUGUCCAGAUUGGAAUCCUGAUGCUAAAGACUUAGUAAGACACAAAAAAGGAGUUGAGAAUUACUUAGGGCUAAGGCUAUCUAGCUGCAAGAGCAGCACAAGGACAUCUGCUGUUGCAAUGCAAGGCUUAUAGAGAAUUCAGAACUGCCA